This 450-nucleotide ribosomal RNA is filed under the name uncultured bacterium. RNAcentral's name for it is "bacterial SSU rRNA". It matches the Rfam family "Bacterial small subunit ribosomal RNA", at positions 354 to 796 of the family's 1533-position model. The record is from RNAcentral.
GUGGGGAAUUUUGGACAAUGGGCGCAAGCCUGAUCCAGCAAUGCCGCGUGCAGGAAGAAGGCCUUCGGGUUGUAAACUGCUUUUGUACGGAACGAAACGGUCCUGGCUAAUACCUGGGGCUAAUGACGGUACCGUAAGAAUAAGCACCGGCUAACUACGUGCCAGCAGCCGCGGUAAUACGUAGGGUGCGAGCGUUAAUCGGAAUUACUGGGCGUAAAGCGUGCGCAGGCGGUGCUGUAAGACAGGCGUGAAAUCCCCGGGCUCAACCUGGGAAUUGCGCUUGUGACUGCAGUGCUGGAGUGCGGCAGAGGGGGAUGGAAUUCCGCGUGUAGCAGUGAAAUGCGUAGAUAUGCGGAGGAACACCGAUGGCGAAGGCAAUCCCCUGGGCCUGCACUGACGCUCAUGCACGAAAGCGUGGGGAGCAAACAGGAUUAGAAACCCGGGUAGUCC